AUCCAACUGAUGCGUCUCAAAUAGGAGGAAACGAGCGUCAAAGUGGAU
RNAcentral lists this non-coding RNA (48 nucleotides) under Schistosoma mansoni. The record is from RNAcentral. Lineage: Eukaryota; Metazoa; Platyhelminthes; Trematoda; Strigeidida; Schistosomatidae.